Molecule: long non-coding RNA, 3021 nt
Organism: Monodelphis domestica (gray short-tailed opossum)
Lineage: Eukaryota; Metazoa; Chordata; Mammalia; Didelphimorphia; Didelphidae
Source: RefSeq, a predicted model, not a curated record
GUGAAGAUUAAAUUAACUCUCCCUGCCCAUUUUUAGAUUUAAUCAACAAAAGUGCGAACACCCCACUCACACUUGAGUGGGGAGGUCUGUAACCUGUGUGUGCAAUAGUGGGUGACGAAUCAGAAUCACUGACUGUCCCUGGGCAAGCCUAAACAAAGCUUUAGCUAUAAUUGGUAGAUGUGAAAGUGGAGGAAAUCACAGGAAGUGAUGCAAAAGAAGUGUCUUUUUAAAAAAGGAGUUACAACUUCCUGUGAGGACUUUUUCUGGAGUUCUUCAAGCUUGGCACUUCUGAGUGCUCUCAUUCUUCACAGUUCUGAGUUUGAUUUGGAGGCUGCUGUUGGAUCUGAGACCUUAGACUUGGUGAGACUGUUCUUUGGACUGACACGCGUCUAUUGCAGGUUUAUACCUACAGUUUUUGUAUUUGAAAACCACAUGUUCUGAACCCACUCCUGGUAACUGUCCUACAGCUGCACUUAUCCAGCAAGAUAAUGUGUAUCAUUUGUCAAUCCUGGAUAUCAGAUGAACAUAUAAACUUUGUCAAAGGAUCCUAUGAAUUUGGAACUUCAAAAGGCUGGAAGUCCAGAGUUAUAAAGGGAUUUAUCUGUGGAACUGGUACUAAAGCUAAUAAGAAAAAAAAAGAUGAAUUGCCACCAAAUAAUAUGAAGAAUGAGUGAAGGCAUCCUUUAGGACUCUAUAUUGGAUGAGAAUUUUAGAGGAUCAGAAGGAUUCGAUUAUUAUCAUUGAUUAACUUUGAAGAAAAGAUAUCCUUGGCCAAGGUUCUGUGAACUCUCUAGAUCAGAGUUCUUAACCUGGGGUGGGGGUGGGUGGGAAGAGAGGGAGCUGGACUAAAAACUUUAUUUUAAUAUAAUGCUUUCUCUGUACUACCAUAAAUUUCAUUUUAUGCAUUAAAACAUUACUCUGAGACAAGGUCCAUAUGUUUCAUUAAACUACUAAAGAAGGUUAAGAAUCUCAGCAGAUGCACAGUUAAGAUCUAUUAACUUUUCUAACCACAAAGAAUUUUACUGGGACAGUAGGGAGAUCCUCACACUAUUUUCUAUAGCAAAAUGGUUAUUAAGGUGUAUGUGGAUGGGUGUGUAUGUGCAUGUGUGCAUGAAUUACAGUUGUUAUCUGAUGAAGAAUCAGAGGGCAAUGUCUGCUUGAAGAAUCACAGUGUCUCAGUGGAGUCAUCAUUAUAGUCCUUUGUUCAAUUGUCAAUAAUGUGUUAAUUAGAACAAAAAUCAAAUAACUCAAAAAAAUGGCCCCAUAGGGCAGUGAAGUUAAAGACUAAGUCAUUCGUCUUCAGAGACCAAUAUUUCAUUUUUAAUAGAGAUGGGCAUAGAGGGUGGACCUGAGAUUUCACUGGGCUAGACCUUUUUUAAGAUCUCAGAAUUGAGUUGCCUCAAAAACUGAGAGGUUAAUCAACUUGUUCAGGGUCAUCAGUAAUGCAGAAAAUGAACCAAGAUCUUCUUGGUUCUGAGACUGUUCUCUAACCAUUACAACCUACUGAUUCACUCACUUUCAAUAAAAAUGAAAAAUUAGGUCAUGGUAUUAAUAGCAGUUCAGGUGGCCAAAGACACCUAUCUUUAAAAAAAAAAAACACAACAAAAACAAACAACAACAACAAAGAAACCAAAGAACCUUAGCUGUGCCACUUAGAAAACUUGCAUUUUCUGAUAUUUAAGCCUUAAGAAAGCAGUCAGUUUUCCAGGUUGCAGGUUUUUAUGGAACUUUAAGAGAUCUGGAGGCUUAUGGAAAUCCAAGCAUUCCUCAGCUCUCAGAGAGUAGGGUGAUUGUGCCCAAGAUAAACCUUUAUAGAACUUCUCUCUACAGGUUUAAGCAAACCUGGUCUUUCACAAACUAGAGAAAGGAGUUUAUGGCUUUUGUAUUAAUUUCAGUUUGGUUUGUGGUUUUUUUUUUAACCAAAUCUUUCUUGCCUGACUUUCCGUGGAGCUAUAACUAUAAUAUACAGAAAUCCUGCUUUUUUAUGUCUCGUUUUCAUUUGAAAUCAUUUGAAAUUUCAAUCAAGUAAGGUGUAAUGGUCUCCAAUUUCUAUUUUAGUUCUUAGUCAUUUAUCCUCUACUUAGUGCUAAUUUGUAGUUUUGCAUUCAGCUCCAGCAAGUGUCUGUAGAGAGAUUUAGAUCACUUAAACUCAUAGUGGAAAAUAGGAAUUUAUUCUUAGUUGUUUUCUAGUAUCAUAGCCAUGAAUACUGGCUAUUGUUGGAGUCUGUGAGUAGGUGGAGAGUAAGUCACAAUGGCUAACUUGAAAACCAAGACCCUUCCCCACAACCUCACAAUUUGAGGAGGAAGCUGUCCUUGUGACAGCUGUGGUUAAUAGUUUUUGAUAGGUUAUUAAAUUAGUUCGGAAAAUUCAACAUAGAAGUUCUGCACAUUAAAUUAAGUUUAUGCAAGGGUAUUAACAUAGUUAAAAUGAUGUAAGGCUGCUGUGUGAAUAAUCUAGUGGUGAUGUCAAAAGUAUUUUAUAGGCAUAAUUUUCAAAAGCUAGUAAUAAUUAAAAAGGAAAAAUAUUUUAUUUGGCAAAGAGGAAUGAUACUGUUGAUUUUAUUAUUUUCUCUUGAAACAUGCAACUAUCUAAUACAUGCAAUAAGCCAUUAUCCAUAUAUAAAUACAUAUGCAUGUCAGAAGCCUGCUCAUACAUUAUGGAAGUAUGUAAACAUUUUGGGUACCCACAUUUCAGGUGCCAAGGUGUGGCUCCUCCUGGCUCCAAUAAGAACCAUGUGUGUAUUCAUUACAAAAUUUGACCCUUAUGCUUCAAAUAGUGUACACAUAUAUUUCUUAAGAGGAUUGAAUAUUAAACAAGGCAGCUAUUGUGACGUUUGUUUUCAUAUUCUUCUCUGCUAUUUUGACUGAAUAAACCACUCAACUUCUAUUUUUCUUUUGGAUAUUUUUUUUGCCUAUUUUCAUUUAAAUUCUAAGUAAGGCCCCAAAUUGUGCUUUUUUACCUAAUUGUGCUUUUCUAGAGCAGAAAGUUAUGCUUAAGAAUAUCUUAAACUUUCAGUUAAU